Folsomia candida is the source of this 1072-nucleotide RNA transcript. RefSeq lists it as uncharacterized. Lineage: Eukaryota; Metazoa; Arthropoda; Collembola; Entomobryomorpha; Isotomidae. The record is from RefSeq and is a predicted model, not a curated record. The transcript is spliced from 3 exons.
GAGUUCCAUACGUUACGAAUUUGUGAUAAUUUAUUACCCGAUUACUUAUUUACAAUGUGUAUUUGAAUGUGGCACACAAAUAUUUGAUCUAACAAAAUUCCAAGUUUUACCAAAUUGUUUACUUACUUCGUUAUUCGUUUGUUUUUGACAACAUCACUCAAAACCCAUGAAUUAUCUGAUUUGUACAAAUACACAUAAGCAAGUAAAACAAAAUAUGAUAAACUUAAACUCUUAAAGAUAUUUCAAACCGAAAAUGCAAUCCAUUCCUCUCAGCGUUCCGCAGCACUUGCCGAAAUUAUUUGCAAGGAUGACAAAAUCCAUGAGAAGCAUCCCACCUUGAUUGCUAAAUUAACCUCGAGUAACACUAACGAGAUUGGAAGAUCAAAUUUGGAGAAAAAAAUAUUGGGAUCGUUGAAGAUUUGGGAAAGUUCCUCCAGCGAGAAGCGGCAACUUGAGGAACUCAACAAAAUUUUGCUGGAGUCUGGUUUAGCCACAUCCAUUCCAAAUAUCCAAAAGCAUUAUUCCGGAGUAAGAUUUGUUGCAGAUUCUGAUCCACAAACGAAUUAAAUAUUGCCAUUAAGUCGGAUUUUAAAAUAAAUCAUUUUGGCUAUUUUAUAAUUCCAUGCUAAACUAUGAAUUUUUCGCGAUUAAAUUAAUCCAUGAAACCAUUAGUCAAACCAAGAAUAAACACACUGUAUUUAAGAAUGAAGUAAAUUGUUCGACUAUUAGUUUUUAAAGUUGAAAUACGAUUUUUCCAAUUAUAUGAUAAAAGUUAGAAUCUAACGGGGAAUCGAACCCACGCCUCUUGACUGACGCUCUAACCACUGGGCUAUAGAAACGAUUCCUACCAUAUAUUGCGAUUUUAACUCGUAUUUCUUUUUGCAAGUCUUUUCUGUGAAUUUCUACUUUCCUUCUGGUUGGUAGGUAACCCAACUGUUUACUGAAUACCAGGGAAAGUUCACUUUCGACUUUUGCGAUGGAGAGGUCAUUCUAAAGUCUGCUAGGACCAGGAUAAUUUAAGAAAUAAAUUAAAUACACUGUAUUUACUUAAAAAAUAAAAUCAUACUGAAGA